Molecule: small nucleolar RNA, 84 nt
Filed under: Erythranthe guttata (spotted monkey flower)
Lineage: Eukaryota; Viridiplantae; Streptophyta; Magnoliopsida; Lamiales; Phrymaceae
Description: Mimulus guttatus (spotted monkey flower) Small nucleolar RNA R160
Rfam family: Small nucleolar RNA R160
About the family: snoR160 is a C/D box small nucleolar RNA, which acts as a methylation guide for 25S ribosomal RNA in plants. snoR160 has been alternatively named snoZ270 in rice.
Source: Rfam by way of RNAcentral
AGCAAAAUGAUGAAAAAGCUCGAUCUGAAUUCCAAAUGUGGAUUUAAUUUAUCGAGUUAUGGUCUUCAAAGUUCUCUGAUUGCU